GCACCGUUGAGGAGUCCCAUAAUAGGACGAAACGGCCGUCCAGUGC
Molecule: non-coding RNA, 46 nt
Organism: Schistosoma margrebowiei
Lineage: Eukaryota; Metazoa; Platyhelminthes; Trematoda; Strigeidida; Schistosomatidae
Source: Rfam